UCUCAAAAUAGAAUAUUUAUAUAUAUACAUAGAUGAGAGACUCAAAACUAACUGACUGACUGACUGUCUAUGAAGCCUCUAUAACACUGAGAUGGAUGUUGGGACAGACCCCGCAACAUCCUAAUAAAACAAAACUAAGAGAACAAAAUAACCGAGUCCUCCAGAAUGCAAAGAGGCUCACUACUGACUCGGGAGUGCUCAG
Molecule: long non-coding RNA, 202 nt
Filed under: Solanum tuberosum (potato)
Lineage: Eukaryota; Viridiplantae; Streptophyta; Magnoliopsida; Solanales; Solanaceae
Description: long non-coding RNA (STUB_LNC003624)
Source: RNAcentral